AGCGGCGGACGGGUGAGUAACGCGUGGGUGACCUGCCCCAUACCGGGGGAUAACAACUGGAAACGGCUGCUAAUACCGCAUAAGCGCACAGGACCGCAUGGUCCGGUGUGAAAAACUCCGGUGGUAUAAGAUGGACCCGCGUUGGAUUAGCUAGUUGGUGAGGUAACGGCCCACCAAGGCGACGAUCCAUAGCCGGCCUGAGAGGGUGAACGGCCACAUUGGGACUGAGACACGGCCCAGACUCCUACGGGAGGCAGCAGUGGGGAAUAUUGCACAAUGGGGGAAACCCUGAUGCAGCGACGCCGCGUGAAGGAAGAAGUAUCUCGGUAUGUAAACUUCUAUCAGCAGGGAAGAAAAUGACGGUACCUGACUAAGAAGCCCCGGCUAACUACGUGCCAGCAGCCGCGGUAAUACGUAGGGGGCAAGCGUUAUCCGGAUUUACUGGGUGUAAAGGGAGCGUAGACGGAUGGACAAGUCUGAUGUGAAAGGCUGGGGCUCAACCCCGGGACUGCAUUGGAAACUGCCCGUCUUGAGUGCCGGAGAGGUAAGCGGAAUUCCUAGUGUAGCGGUGAAAUGCGUAGAUAUUAGGAGGAACACCAGUGGCG
This 605-nucleotide ribosomal RNA is filed under the name uncultured Lachnospiraceae bacterium. RNAcentral describes it as "bacterial SSU rRNA". It matches the Rfam family "Bacterial small subunit ribosomal RNA", at positions 94 to 717 of the family's 1533-position model. Lineage: Bacteria; Bacillati; Bacillota; Clostridia; Lachnospirales; Lachnospiraceae. The record is from RNAcentral.